Molecule: small nuclear RNA, 192 nt
Organism: Ictalurus punctatus (channel catfish)
Lineage: Eukaryota; Metazoa; Chordata; Actinopteri; Siluriformes; Ictaluridae
Gene: U2
Rfam family: U2 spliceosomal RNA
About the family: U2 is a small nuclear RNA (snRNA) component of the spliceosome (involved in pre-mRNA splicing). Complementary binding between U2 snRNA (in an area lying towards the 5' end but 3' to hairpin I) and the branchpoint sequence (BPS) of the intron results the bulging out of an unpaired adenosine, on the BPS, which initiates a nucleophilic attack at the intronic 5' splice site, thus starting the first of two transesterification reactions that mediate splicing.
Source: Ensembl
AUGGGUUUUGUAAUAAAAAAAAAAAAAAAAAAAAAUCUGUUCUUAUCAGUUUAAUAUCUGAUACGUUCCCUACCCGGGGACCCAUAUAUUAAAUUGAUUUUUGGAGCAGGGAGAUGGAAUAGGGGCUUGCUCCGUCCACUAUCCACGCAUCGACCCGGUUAUUGCAGUACUUCCGGGAACGGUGCACCCCUC